CCUACGGGCGGCAGCAGUGAGGAAUCUUUGUCAAUGGACGAGAGUCUGAACCAGCCAAGUAGCGUGAAGGAUGACUGCCCUAUGGGUUGUAAACUUCUUUUAUAUGGGAAUAAAAUGUUCCACGUGUGGGAUUUUGUAUGUACCAUAUGAAUAAGGAUCGGCUAACUCCGUGCCAGCAGCCGCGGUAAUACGGAGGAUCCGAGCGUUAUCCGGAUUUAUUGGGUUUAAAGGGAGCGUAGGUGGAUUGGUAAGUCAGUUGUGAAAGUCUGCGGCUCAACCGGAAAAUUGCAGUUGAAACUGGCAGUCUUGAGUACAGUAGAGGUAGGCGGAAUUCGCGGUGUAGCGGUGAAAUGCUUAGAUAUCACGAAGAACUCCGAUUGCGAAGGCAGUUCACUGGACUGCAACUGACACUGAGGCUCGAAAGUGUGGGUAUCAAACAGGAUUAGAUACCCCUGUAGUC
RNAcentral lists this ribosomal RNA (460 nucleotides) under uncultured bacterium. Its description in RNAcentral is "partial 16S ribosomal RNA". It matches the Rfam family "Bacterial small subunit ribosomal RNA", at positions 338 to 795 of the family's 1533-position model. The record is from RNAcentral.